GUCUUACGGGUGUAAAACGGCAUGAGGGUGAGUAAUUUUCAUUUUUGGGUGAACUAACCCUUUAAUGCGAGGAGGCCGGGCCAUUCGUCACAAACUGACACUCAGCAGUGUUUUACUCAACAGUUUCAAUUCAUUAUUGACUGGACAAAUUCAAUGUAAUUGCUAUUUAGCAACUGUUACUGCUAUUUAGACUUUUUUUAGGGGUUCAAGCGUGUAUCACUGAAACCCUUAUUGUAAUAGUUAAAAUUUCCAAGGAUCAGUAUUCUCGCCUAAAAGUGAAGUGGGCAGAGCCAUUUUUACUAAUUCACUAACUCAUGAAAGGAAGCGAUAUUUUCACCAAACUCAGCACACCUAUGUAAGAGCUCAUUCUGUAGUAGUGUGGAAAAGGACGUACCGACUGGCCACUUGGUGGCGCUGUAACAGCAAAAAAAAAAAAAAAAAAAAAACAUGAAAAUGGCUAUAACUACUACAUGGCACAUUGGUCUUAGUCCAAUGUGCCAUGAUUGUCUAUGAGGACAUUGGCGUGUCUCAAAAAACAUGUCUGCCAUCGGCCAAUGAAAUUUGAGCAGUAAUCAGACAAGGUUAACGGAGGCCAAUCGGAAUGAAACUCGAUGGGCCUGUUUGACUCGCAACCCUUGAGGCCUGUGAGAAAUUUGAAAAAAAAAUCAGCCACCUUCAUGUUUUUCAUGUGCGUAAAGGAUUGUACAUCACGCAAUGUUUCGACACGCCCACGACAUUUCUACCCAUGGUAGAACCCCUCAUUUUAAGCAACUUUGCCUCUAGGACCGCCGCUGUCCAUCGGAUUGUUUGUUAAAUAUUGGAGAUUAUUUCAAAAAACAACUUUGGCGAACUAGGCCUAGGUUUUUGGCUCUACCUCUAUAAAACCACUGCGGCACAAUUCUCGGGAUUUCUAGGUCAAUUGUUUAAAAAAAGUAGUUAUAACAGGGUUAUUUAGAAAAUAGGCAUAACAAAAUAUACUCAAAUUCCUAUAAAUCCUAAACAAAAAGGAAAAUAGGUGAGCAUGUGCAACAUCAGACCAUAGGUGGCGCUAUAACUUAAAAAGCUUUUAAAAAACAUGUUUCUUAGUAAAUUGCUUGCAUUAGCUGUAAACAGUCUUUUCUAUCUAUAAUCUAAGUGGUUACAUGCUUGCUAAAUAAAACGCAUUGGCUUAAAGGCCUUUAAGUGCUUGAACCCUGAUAAUUGCUGCUCGCAGCUAUAUUGUAUUUUUUUAUCAUAAAUUGGAACUUUUCCAGUCUCAGUCUCUCAUACAUAUGUGGUCAAGCAUGUGAACUGUCUUGAUAUAUUAAAUAAUAAUAAUUAGAAGUAUGAAAUUCUUAUUAAGCAGUUUGGCAUAAUCUAUUAUUAUGCCAUAUCACCCUGUAGCCCAAGACUGGUUGCCUACUGAAACAAAGCAGGGUUGAGCCUGGUCAGUAUCUGGAUGGGAGACCUCCUGAGAAAACUAGGUUGCUGCUGGAAGAGGUGUUAGUGAGGCCAGCAGGGGGCGCUCACCCUGUGGUCUGUGUGGGUCCUAACACCCCAGUAUAGUGAUGGGGACACUAUACUGUCAAAAAGCACCGUCCUUCGGAUGAGACGUUAAACCGAGGUCCUGACUCUAUGGUCAUUAAAAAAUCCCAGGAUGUCCUUUGAAAAGAGUAGGGGUGUAACCCCGACAUCCUGGCCAAAUUUGCCCAUUGGCCUCUGUCCAUCAUCAUGGCCUCCUAAUCAUCCCCAUCUAUCUACUGUUUGGCUUCCUCACUCUGUCUCCUCUCCACCAAUAAGCUGGUGUGUGGUGGGCGUUCUGGUGCAAUAUGGCUGCCGUCGCAUCAUCCAGGUGGAUGCUGCACAUUGGUGGUGGUUGAGGAGAUUCCCCCUUCCUUAUGUAAAGCGCUCUGAGUACCCAGAAAAGCGCUAUAUAAAUGUAAGGAAUUAUUAUUAUUUCUUAAAAAUAUUUGGUUACACUAUUUUGAUGGUCCACUUUAGACAUUCUACCAACUAUAAGUAACUUUGCAACUACAUGUCAACUAACUCUCAUUGGAGUAUUAGUGGUAGACUGCUAGUUAACUUUUAGGUUAGGGUUAGUAAUAAGUUGACAAGUUACUUAUAGUCAGUAGAAUGUCUGUUGGGGAGCAUCAAAAUAAAGUGUCAGCAGAUAUUAAGCAGACAAUCUACUAAUACUCUAAUUAGAGUUAGUUUACAUGUAGCAAAGUUACUUGUAGUUACAGUAAUAGAAUAUCUAAUUGGACCAUCAAAACAAAGUGUUACCAGAUAUUUUAACAAAACUGCUUAGCUGUUUAAAGUCAUGGACCUACAUGACCAAGUUAAGACCAUCAUAAUCGUUCUGGAUUCUCUGGUUACUGUUUUGCCAUUUAAGCAGUCUUGUGGACACAUCUGCUGCUGACCUGUAAUAGAGGCCUGUGGUACUGAUGAUUAUGAUUUCUUACCAAAACCUCAGGCAAUUAAGUUUUUAGCAUGGUUUAACUUUAUGCUUUUAACAGAGUUUACUGUUUGAACACUAAACCUGAUAUGAACAUUACAAUAUCACAACAUCCUAAUUUUUGUAUUGACAUAAAUUAAACCAACUCAAUUAUGUGGCCCUAUAGGUUCAGUAGCCUAUCCAUUACACUUCCCUGAAGAAAACGUGGACAUUUGUUGCCUGCGCCAAUGGAUUGCAUCAUGUAUUUAUAGCCCAUUUAUUAUUAUAUGCUUCUUUUUAUAUUUUGUACAGUUAAUUUAAAUAUUGUAAAUAUACAGUCGUUUUGAUAACUCAACACAUUUUUCUCCUAUUUGUAUAGGAUUUACAGUUCAGCUGUGUCAUUUGGAAUUAUAAAAGAUAUUUAGAUUGGUGGCCACAACUAAAAGAAAGUGAAAUGUUCUAACUGAAGUGGUAUCAAUCAGCAGGGGUAUGUGCCAUCACAAAUGGACUCUUACCAAUCAGGUAUUUCAUUGUAAACUAGCAUUAGAGAAAAUGACAAAAACCAUUAUAAAGUGACACCUAACACUCUGAAAUGCAUUAAGAAAACUGGCAGCAAGUGUUCAGAAGUGUGCUGGACCUUGACUCUUCACAGUGCAGAGUAAUCUAGGUCUGGAGAUACUACAUUAAACAGGAUGUCUAUUAUAAUGUGCCUACGGCAAGUCAAAUAUUUAACAAAACAUUCAGGCAUCUCCAGAAGGAAUGCGUGUUCACACUGUUAAAAAAUUGUUUUAUUUCUUAGUACAUAAUACCAUAAAAUUAUUUGUGAAAUAUCAAAGAUGAAAGAUGAGAACCACUAACCACAUAUUAAAUUAUAGGCCUAUCUACAGAUCAAUUUCAGACUCUGAUUACUUGUUUUUGCUACUGUCUAACUCACAAACAAAUAAAUACACCACUGGUGAAUAUUCCUCAACUGUCAUGAGUUUUGGUUUAUCUCACGCUGGCCAAUGUUACAUUUACUUAUACUGAUUCCUACCAGCGUGUCGCACCAUCAUGCAAAAAUAAAGGUUUACAGUAACGGAUGCGACUGGUAAUGUGGUAUUCAUGACCCAUGAUAGAUUAAUUCCGUGUGGUUCCUAGAAUGGGCUGUUUGUAUGACCAACAACAUACAGUAGCACUGGUAUUACACAACAUUCAGUGGCACGUGCUACUCAAAUACAGAUGUGCCACCAACUGACUACGUUUGAAAAUAUUACCGAUUUGUAAAUACAUUUACAUGAUAUUUAUUUAUUUAUUUUUUUAAAUCACUAAAUUAGGCAAUUUAUUUAGGAUUUUGUGUCACAAUUACAUCAGUUUUGGAGGUGCCACAACAUUGAUAGUCACACAUGGCAGUUUUGGUUUUUGGACGUGCCACCGAAUGUGCUACUAAGCACAGCGCCAAUGGCUUCUGUGCACAAGAUGCCAUGCCACUUAAUGUUAAUACUGCUACUGGGUAGCGGCUAAUGAAUCUGAAGUCUUGCACAUUCACAGAAAAUAGCUUACUCCUGUCUUACAAAAUAAGGUGGAUACAUUAUGACCACUAGAUGGUCACAACGUACACCAUAAUGCAGGGGUGUCCAAUCCUGAUCCUGGAGGGUCACUGUCUUGCCAAGUUUAGUUCCAACCCCAAUUAAACACACCUGAACCAGCUAUUUAAGGUCUACUAGGCAUCCUAGAAACUUCCAGGCAGGUGUGUUGAGGCAACUAGGAGCUAAACUCUGCAGGACAGUGGCCCUCCAGGACUGAGUUUAGGCGCCCCUGGCAUAAUGAAAAACUUCUGAUUAAUGAACCCAAUGCUGCAAAGCUUCAUUUAGCCAUUAUUAGCAGUGUUCACUGCACUCUGAGCAGCAUGCAGAAGAUGCUGAGCCUAUUUUAGCAGUGCAUUUCUUAAAGGAAUAGUUCACCCAAAAAUGAAAAUUCUGUCAUUUACUUACGGGUUUGGAACGACACAAGGGUAAGACUUUCAUUCAUCUUCGAAAGACAAGAUAUUUUUAAUGAAAUCUGAGUGAUUUCUGUCCCUCCAUAGACAGCUACACAACUACCACUUUGAUGCUUCACAUAAAGAGAUUGUCAAACUAAUUCAUAUGAAUCGAGUGGUUUAGUCCAAAUUUUCUGAAGAGACUCUAUCGCUUUAUAUGAUGAACAGACUGAAUUUAGGCUUUUAUUCACGUAAACAUUCAUCAACUAAACAGAAGCUCAAGCAUGUUUGCUUGCCAUGUGAGAACCAGUGAAGUUCAUUCUCGUGUUACGCAGCACAUUUGAGCUUCAGCAAGAACCAAUGAGAUUCAUUCUUGUGUUACGCAGGACGUUUGAACUUCCACAAGUACCAAUGAGGUUCAUUCUUGUGUUACACAGGACGUUUGAGCGUCAGCAAGAACCAAUGAGGUUCAUUCUCGUGUUACGCAGCACGUUUGAGCUUCAGCAAGAACCAAUGAGAUUUAUUCUUGUGUUACGCAGGACGUUUGAGCUUCAGCAAGUACCAAUGAGGUUCAUUCUUGUGUUACGCAGCACACUUGAGCUUCAGCAAGUACCAAUGAGGUUCAUUCUUGUUACGCAGGAUGUUUGAGCUUCAGCAAGAACCAAUGAGGUUCAUUCUCGUGUUACGCAGCACAUUUGAGCUUCAGCAAGAACCAAUGAGGUUCAUUCUCGUGUUACGCAGGACGUUUGAGCUUCUGCAAGAACCAAUGAGAUUCAUUCUCGUGUUACGCAGCACAUUUGAGCUUCCACAAGAACCAAUGAGGUUCAUUCUUGUGUUACGCAGCAUGUUUGAGCUUUAGCAAGAACCAAUGAAGUUUGUUCUUGUGCGUCUAAGCAAGUACAGUUGAGCUUCUGUUUAUGUUCUCUGAUAAAUGUUUAUAGGUGAAUAAAUGUCUAAAUUUAAUCUGUUCAUCAUAUAAAGCAAUCAAAUCUCUUCAGAAAAGUCAAAGUUGUAGUUGUGUAGACUGUCAAUGGAGGGACAGAAAUUGUUCAGAUUGAAGGUGAGUAGAUAAUGACAUAAUUUUCAUUUUUGUAUGAACAAAUCCUUUAACAAAAAACACAUUGAGAACGUACUGUAAACCUAUUAAAAUGGUGUUUACAAUGGCUUUAUGAAGCAAAAAAAAAAAAAAAAAGACAUUGGUCAGGUUUGAUGCAGUGGCAAACACAUUCUAUUCAGUACAUGUGACUGAAUCCAGUUUGAGGUUCAGUGUAAAUGAAUUGCCAUUUGGAUGUAAAUGAAGCA
Long non-coding RNA from Ctenopharyngodon idella (grass carp), 5669 nucleotides. RefSeq lists it as uncharacterized. Lineage: Eukaryota; Metazoa; Chordata; Actinopteri; Cypriniformes; Xenocyprididae. The transcript is spliced from 2 exons. The record is from RefSeq and is a predicted model, not a curated record.